UACGGAGGAUGCGAGCGUUAUCCGGAUUUAUUGGGUUUAAAGGGUGCGUAGGCGGGAUGCCAAGUCAGCGGUCAAAUACGGGGGCUCAACCUGCGUCCGCCGUUGAAACUGGCGUUCUUGAGUGGGCGAGAAGUACGCGGAAUGCGUGGUGUAGCGGUGAAAUGCAUAGAUAUCACGCAGAACCCCGAUUGCGAAGGCAGCGUACCGGCGCCCGACUGACGCUGAAGCACGAAAGCGUGGGUAUCGAACAGG
This 252-nucleotide ribosomal RNA is filed under the name uncultured bacterium. RNAcentral describes it as "partial 16S ribosomal RNA". It matches the Rfam family "Bacterial small subunit ribosomal RNA", at positions 524 to 776 of the family's 1533-position model. The record is from RNAcentral.